This 20-nucleotide non-coding RNA is filed under the name Arabidopsis thaliana (thale cress). The record is from RNAcentral. Lineage: Eukaryota; Viridiplantae; Streptophyta; Magnoliopsida; Brassicales; Brassicaceae.
UUUCAUGGUGUAGCCAAAGU